GCGCGGGUAGCUCAGUGACAGAGCGCUUGGAUCACAUCCAAGAGGUCGGAGGUUUAAGUCCUUCCCUGCGCACCA
This 75-nucleotide transfer RNA is filed under the name Chloroflexota bacterium. Its description in RNAcentral is "Chloroflexi bacterium tRNA-Val". It matches the Rfam family "tRNA". From Rfam's summary of the family: Transfer RNA (tRNA) molecules are approximately 80 nucleotides in length. Their secondary structure includes four short double-helical elements and three loops (D, anti-codon, and T loops). RNAcentral also lists the same sequence under 1 other name. Lineage: Bacteria; Bacillati; Chloroflexota. The record is from RNAcentral.